Molecule: long non-coding RNA, 579 nt
Organism: Cydia splendana
Lineage: Eukaryota; Metazoa; Arthropoda; Insecta; Lepidoptera; Tortricidae
Exons: 2
Source: RefSeq, a predicted model, not a curated record
AGUCAAUCCUAGUGGACGAAAUCUUUAUAUAAUAUAACCGGAACUAAUAUGACAGUUUUCAAUUACUGUAUCCUAAAUGGCCCCAUGCUCAAUCUAUUAAUAAAUUAAAAAUAUAGUCAUGGUCACGUGAGUUUGAAGAAUAUUUUGUCUUUAUAUUUUAUGGGCAUGUAUUAUGUUGUACAUUGAAUUAAAUUGUGUGUAAUUCAGAUUAGUUACGCAAAUUAUUAUAAAAGACGGAUAAUAUUAUUGCGCGUCAUUCGUGUAUCAGUAUUUCAUCUAGCCAUGAAGUCUGUACUAGCCCUUAUAUUGAUGGCUGUACUAGGGCUAGUGGUGGCGACUCCUGUGCUGCCCCCUCACUUCGAUCCCCUUUGCGGCUGCAUACCGGACCAUACGUUCUGCGCCAACGACUUCAGAACCUACACCAGCGUCUGCGAGUACAAAUGCAAAAAUCCCAACUUCCAUGACUGGUACAUAAUGUACGAUGGGCCGUGCAAGCUGACACCACCUGGCUAAAUACCAGGAAUUACCUGAGGACAUAAAAAGAAAAUGAUACAUUAAAUGGUUUCUAAUUGGGCAAAA